UACGUAGGGUGCAAGCGUUGUCCGGAAUUAUUGGGCGUAAAGGGCUCGUAGGCGGUUUGUCACGUCGGGAGUGAAAAACUCAGGGCUUAACCCUGAGCCUGCUUCCGAUACGGGCAGACUAGAGGUAUGCAGGGGAGAAUGGAAUUCCUGGUGUAGCGGUGAAAUGCGCAGAUAUCAGGAGGAACACCGGUGGCGAAGGCGGCGCUCUGGACCGAGACUGACGCUGAGGCGCGAAAGCGUGGGGAGCAAACAGG
This 254-nucleotide ribosomal RNA is filed under the name uncultured bacterium. RNAcentral describes it as "partial 16S ribosomal RNA". It matches the Rfam family "Bacterial small subunit ribosomal RNA", at positions 524 to 776 of the family's 1533-position model. The record is from RNAcentral.